CCUGGUUCCACCACCAGCUCUGGGUAUGGUCGUGUCCACCCCACGUCCCCUCGGGAUGGGGGCUGAGACGCCGGCUGUCCCGUUGGAGUCAGGUCGCGGCUGUGAAGACACAGUGGGGCGCCUGGUGAGCCCUUGUGGCUGGGGUGCUGCAUGUGUCCAUGUCUAGGACCGCAGAAUGAGCGGCGUUCGCCUGGGCGUCGGCUUCCGCUCCUGCAGCCGCGUGAUGCCCACCCCGAGGCCGCCGGCCUGCACACCUGUGAGACCCUCGGGCUGACACGGCUACUCCUGCUCCACUGUGCCGGCAGCCACUGCGGCCACUGGGACGCGUGCCGGUCACUGUCCUCUGCUCUCUGGUCACCACAUGCCCCGUCCUCGGUGCUGUGGGUGGCGGACCCGCAUCUGUAGCUCCUCUGAGCUUCUGGUGCCUCCUGCGCGUUUCCUUCGUGGAGCCUCCUGCGUGUCCCGGCGACCUGUGGAAAUCGUGUUUGCGCUGAACAAGCCAGAGGUGGUUUCUCGCUACAGCAGGGAGGACCCGUUCCACAUCCUGUGACAGGGACGGAGGAGGGGGUGUCCCUGGCCAAUGGAGGGUUCCUGGACGCUGGGCCCACCGUGGACUCAGGAAUUUCUGUUUGUCUUUAGGGUCUUAUUACUUUCCUGGGGCUGCCCUAACGAAGCCACAGACUCAGGGCUCAACCCGCAGGCAUCCCUCUCAGCCUGCAGGCCGCAAGCCCUAAACUGAGGUGUCGCGGGGCCGUGCUGCCUUUGGGGGGGCACCCUGUGCAUCUUCCAGCCUCUGGUGGUGCCAGACAUACUCGCCGUCCCUUGGUUGGUGGAUGCGUCACCCCUUCUCUGCCUCCAGGGGCACACGGCGUUGCUCUCUUGUUGGGGUGGGAGUCACCGACUCUAGCUGGUCACUGACCCCCUCUUACUGAUGGUGCCUGCAGUGGCCCUGUUUCCAACCCCAGGACGCCGUGGGGAUUGCACAGCAUCAGUGUGUCCGGAGCUGCUGGGUUCUUCUCAGUGGCUGCGUGAGAAGCCGUCGGGAGACUUUCAGGACGUAAUCACAAAGGCCGGAACGAGCAGAAGGUACCCUCACAGACCAAGCGUGAUCUGAGUUCCUGCCAGGGAGCACCUGGGCCCAGGACAUGGGUGUCGCCCAAACGUUCACGUGUUCCUGCGUUUGCUUUCUCCUUCUCACACCUGAAUCUGCAGAGUGGAAUAUGUCGGGGUGUGUUCCCCACACCAGGGUGUGCUGCCGCCGGGGCGGCCGUUCGUGUUGCUGCAACGAUACAUGGUCUCUACUCUGCAGUCUGCAUUCACAGGUCUUCGGUUCUCUGUCCCGGGAAGGACUCCCACUGCUCCCGGGGGCCUUUCCGAGUACCUCACCUUCUUGCUUGCCAUCGUUGCCGGGGUCCCUCUGCCAUUCCAUCCUCCAACUGGUGACUGUGCAGCUAUGAGGACUUUUGGUUUUUGUGUGUUAGUUUUAGCCUUACUGAGUUCGUUUAUCCUUUGAGUCUGUUUCCUCCCUGUUCAUGGCCUGGUGCUACACUCGCUGCCUGGUCUGGAGUCCCAUGUGGCUAAGCUCGCGUGUACAGAUGAGAUGAAAUGAGACCAAAGGCUCACAAUUCCGCCACAUUCGCCCCAUUCCCAGUGCUUGGCGGCCGCACGGGCUUGGCGGGUUUCCGACACUGAGCUUGUGGGACAUCCCCUCAUCGUGAAAAGUUUACUGCAUAUUACUGUUCCAGCGUUUAACAGGUACGUCAGUUUAGCCUUUGCAAAUGGACACAGCUGGCUUUGGGCUCUGUUCUCGGGGCCCUGACGGGUUCCCUGUGUCUGACUGCAGCGGCUGAGGCCUCCAGGGCCGGGCUGGCGGGCGAUGAAGGCAAGCAUAGUCCUCAUCUUGCCCCUAAUGACACCAGCGUCUGCUUCAGUGAGGUGGAGACUUUAGAAAAGGCUCUGUUACUAUGUUAAGAAAGCGGCUGUCACUUCCUAUUUUCCUUACUGUUUGUACUUUUAUCAGGAAUGGGUGUUAAAUUUUGCCAGAGGCUUUUUGUGCACCUAUGGGGAGAAAGCAUGUGAUUUUUCUCUUUGGGUCUGUCAAGAGUGACUUUCACAAAUGGAUUUCCCAGCAACCAGGCGGGCCGUGGCAUCUGGGCGUCAGUCCCGCACGUGGUCACCAUGUCUGUCUUCCCACCCAUUGCACCUUCCAGUAGGGUCUGGGGGUCAGAGCUCCCGUUGCGGUGGGGCUCUGCCGGCCGGCCUUCUAGGAGGGGGCUGGGGUCAGCACUCCUGGGCGGGGCUCCACUGGCCGGCACAGUUUAGCGUGUGCCCCUCCACUUCAGGGUGCCGGAACAACCGGGCAAGCUGUGACCAUCUGGUCCCUAGACAUGUGGUGGAGUUCAUCUGUGGAGUCAUUAGGGCCCGUUUUUGUUGGGGGCUGCGGUUCGCUGGAGGCUUUUUUCUUCCGUGGAACCGGUGUGGUUAGGGUCCCGCCCCCCACUGUAGCCGCUUCAUCUGGAAAUUCGCAUUUAUUGCGCUCCGCAUGAAAUGUCACUACGGCAUAGUUAUUCUAUGUCAUUUAUUCCU
Long non-coding RNA from Neofelis nebulosa (Clouded leopard), 2586 nucleotides. RefSeq lists it as uncharacterized. The transcript has 3 exons. Lineage: Eukaryota; Metazoa; Chordata; Mammalia; Carnivora; Felidae. The record is from RefSeq and is a predicted model, not a curated record.